This 274-nucleotide ribosomal RNA is filed under the name Salmonella enterica. RNAcentral describes it as "partial 23S ribosomal RNA". It matches the Rfam family "Bacterial large subunit ribosomal RNA", at positions 2669 to 2925 of the family's 2925-position model. Lineage: Bacteria; Pseudomonadati; Pseudomonadota; Gammaproteobacteria; Enterobacterales; Enterobacteriaceae. The record is from RNAcentral.
GGGCUGCUCCUAGUACGAGAGGACCGGAGUGGACGCAUCACUGGUGUUCGGGUUGUCAUGCCAAUGGCACUGCCCGGUAGCUAAAUGCGGAAGAGAUAAGUGCUGAAAGCAUCUAAGCACGAAACUUGCCCCGAGAUGAGUUCUCCCUGAGACUUUAAGUCUCCUGAAGGAACGUUGAAGACGACGACGUUGAUAGGCCGGGUGUGUAAGCGCAGCGAUGCGUUGAGCUAACCGGUACUAAUGAACCGUGAGGCUUAACCUUACAACGCCGAAG